CAAAUUUGAAAUCUGGCGUCUUCGGCGUCCGAGUUGUAAUUUGUAGAGGAUGCUUCUGGGCAGCCACCGGUCUAAGUUCCUUGGAACAGGACGUCAUAGAGGGUGAGAAUCCCGUAUGCGACCGGACAGGCACCCUCCACGUAGCUCCUUCGACGAGUCGAGUUGUUUGGGAAUGCAGCUCUAAAUGGGAGGUAAAUUUCUUCUAAAGCUAAAUACCGGCCAGAGACCGAUAGCGCACAAGUAGAGUGAUCGAAAGAUGAAAAGUACUUUGGAAAGAGAGUUAAAAAGCACGUGAAAUUGUUGAAAGGGAAGGGUUUGCAACCAGACUUGCUCGCGGUGUUCCGCCGGUCUUCUGACCGGUCUACUCGCCGCGCUGCAGGCCAGCAUCGUCUGGGGCCGCCGGAUAAGACUUUAGGAAUGUAGCUCCCUCGGGAGUGUUAUAGCCUAUUGUGAUGCGGCGCGUCCCGGGCGAGGUCCGCGCUUCGGCUAGGAUGCUGGCGUAAUGGUUGUAAACCGCCCGUCUUGAAACACGGACCAAGGAGUCUAGCAUCUAUGCGAGUGUUCGGGUGUCAAACCCCUACGCGUAAUGAAAGUGAACGGAGGUGGGAACUUUUUGUGCACCAUCGACCGAUCCUGAUGUCUUCGGAUGGAUUUGAGUAAGAGCAUAGCUGUUGGGACCCGAAAGAUGGUGAACUAUGCCUGAAUAGGGUGAAGCCAGAGGAAACUCUGGUGGAGGCUCGCAG
This 743-nucleotide small RNA is filed under the name Neocladosporium leucadendri. RNAcentral's name for it is "eukaryotic LSU rRNA". It matches the Rfam family "Eukaryotic large subunit ribosomal RNA", at positions 110 to 880 of the family's 3401-position model. Lineage: Eukaryota; Fungi; Ascomycota; Dothideomycetes; Cladosporiales; Cladosporiaceae. The record is from RNAcentral.